RNAcentral lists this ribosomal RNA (524 nucleotides) under Clostridiaceae bacterium 1bZ. RNAcentral's name for it is "bacterial SSU rRNA". It matches the Rfam family "Bacterial small subunit ribosomal RNA", at positions 1 to 527 of the family's 1533-position model. The record is from RNAcentral. Lineage: Bacteria; Bacillati; Bacillota; Clostridia; Eubacteriales; Clostridiaceae.
UAGAGUUUGAUCAUGGCUCAGGACGAACGCUGGCGGCGUGCCUAACACAUGCAAGUCGAGCGAAGUAUAUUUAAGUGAAGUUUUCGGACGGAACUUAAAUAUAUCUUAGCGGCGGACGGGUGAGUAACGCGUGAGCAACCUGCCUUUCACAAAGGGAUAGCCUCGGGAAACUGGGAUUAAUACCAUAUGAUACUUAACUUUCGCAUGAAAGAUAAGUUAAAGCGAAUAAGCGGUGAAAGAUGGGCUCGCGUCCUAUUAGCUAGUUGGUGAGGUAACGGCUCACCAAGGCGACGAUAGGUAGCCGGCCUGAGAGGGUGAACGGCCACACUGGAACUGAGACACGGUCCAGACUCCUACGGGAGGCAGCAGUGGGGGAUAUUGCACAAUGGAGGAAACUCUGAUGCAGCGACGCCGCGUGAGUGAAGAAGGCCUUCGGGUCGUAAAGCUCUGUCCUAGGGGAAGAUAAUGACGGUACCCUAGGAGGAAGCCCCGGCUAACUACGUGCCAGCCGCCGCGGUAAUUCA